UUGGAUUCCUGGCACGGGGUAACCGGUCCGCCUUGCAAAAGGUGCGCACUGUGUGGCCUCGGCCAUCCUUGGGAAGAGCGGCUCUGGCAUUAAGUUGUCGGGGUCGGGAUUCCCGACGUUUACUGUGAAAAAAUCAGAGUGUUCAACGCAGGCUUACGCCUUGAAUACAUUAGCAUGGAAUAAUGAGAUAGGACCUUGGCGGUCUAUUUUGUUGGUUUGCACGCCGAGGUAAUGAUUAAAAGGGACGGUUGGGGUUCUUUGUAUUCAAUUGUCAGAGGUGAAAUUCUUGGAUUUAUGGAAGACAAACUGCUGCGAAAGCGUCGAACAAGGACGUUCUCAUUAAUCAAGAACGAAAGUUAGGGGAUCGAAGAUGAUUAGAUACCAUCGUA
This 389-nucleotide ribosomal RNA is filed under the name Pelagophyceae sp. RCC5488. RNAcentral's name for it is "SSU rRNA". It matches the Rfam family "Eukaryotic small subunit ribosomal RNA", at positions 634 to 1022 of the family's 1831-position model. The record is from RNAcentral. Lineage: Eukaryota; Pelagophyceae.